UUAUAUCCGCCGGAAAAAAAAUAUAUUGAGUAUGAAAUAAAUUUUUGUGAAAAAUAUAUUGAGUAUGAAAUAAAAUUUUAUGAAAAAUAUAUUGAGUAUGAAAUAAAUUUUUAUGAUGAAUCUGUACGGGCGGACUGAUAAUAGAUGAUAUUCUAUAAAGUAAACGAGGAUAUGAGCCAAUUUCAAGCUAAUCUAACAUGAAUUUAUGUUUAAGCUGUUAUGAGGUUAAUGUGAUUCCUAUUAUAAUUUAAUGUGAAACUGGACCAAAAGCACUUUCUCCUGCAAAAGAAAGAAUUCAUGAUUGCUUGUCAUAGUUACCCUGAUACCUAAUUAUCUAGAUUAUUUUAAUAUUCUUUUCAUAUUUAAGAUAACAUCCUAUGCAAGAUUUACCUGAAUAUAUCAUUUGAGAAUUUAC
Long non-coding RNA from Gordionus sp. m RMFG-2023, 415 nucleotides. RefSeq lists it as uncharacterized. Lineage: Eukaryota; Metazoa; Nematomorpha; Gordioida; Chordodea; Parachordodidae. The record is from RefSeq and is a predicted model, not a curated record. The transcript has 4 exons.